This 526-nucleotide unclassified non-coding RNA is filed under the name Hevea brasiliensis (rubber tree). The record is from RNAcentral. Lineage: Eukaryota; Viridiplantae; Streptophyta; Magnoliopsida; Malpighiales; Euphorbiaceae.
GCGAGUAGAUCUCGUUACCCACACAUUGUUGUUGCUUUUUUUCUUGGAUUUCUUUUUCGCCGUGGCUUGUGUCGUCGAUCGGGUCUUGGUUCCGUUUGAUACAUUAUUGCCAUUGUUGUUGUAGUUAAUUGUUGAGGGCCUCGUUGUUGUUGGGUUAGAGACGAGAGUUGCUUUUGCUUUUUGGGAGGUGGGUCUUCAUCUUCAUCGUCGUCCUCAUCUUCUUCUCCCUCAAUGUCUUCGGGUUUGGGGGAUUUGGGAGUGCGUUUCUCGGUGUCGUUGGAGGUGGUUGGGUCAGAUUCUGAGAGGCCGGAUACAAAUAGCUCUUUCUGUCUAAUGGAGUCACCGUUUUGAGAGGUAUCGAAGUCGUUAAGCGGUUGUUCUGUGUCGUUACUGUGUUCAGCAAGUUCAAUGGUGGUGGGAUCCAGGUGCUUGACGGGUUCUUCUUCUUCUUCAUCAUCUUCUUCGUCGUCUUCUUCUUCUUUGUAGGCUGCUUCAAGGGAGUCCAUGCGAAGGCGUUUAGUUCUGG